GACGAACGCUGGCGGCGUGCUUAACACAUGCAAGUCGAACGAAAAGAGGGAAAGAGCUUGCUCUUUCCGGAAUUGAGUGGCAAACGGGUGAGUAACACGUAAACAACCUGCCUUCAGGAUGGGGACAACAGACGGAAACGACUGCUAAUACCGAAUAAGUUCCAAGGGCCGCAUGGCCCAUGGAAGAAAAGGUGGCCUCUACCUGUAAGCUAUCGCCUGAAGAGGGGUUUGCGUCUGAUUAGCUGGUUGGAGGGGUAACGGCCCACCAAGGCGACGAUCAGUAGCCGGUCUGAGAGGAGGAACGGCCACACUGGAAUUGAGACACGGUCCAGACUCCUACGGGAGGCAGCAGUGGGGAAUCUUCCGCAAUGGGCGAAAGCCUGACGGAGCAACGCCGCGUGAGUGAUGACGGCCUUCGGGUUGUAAAACUCUGUGAUCCGGGACGAAAAGGCAGAGUGCGAAGAACAAACUGCAUUGACGGUACCGGAAAAGCAAGCCACGGCUAACUACGUG
This 513-nucleotide ribosomal RNA is filed under the name uncultured bacterium. RNAcentral's name for it is "partial 16S ribosomal RNA". It matches the Rfam family "Bacterial small subunit ribosomal RNA", at positions 28 to 507 of the family's 1533-position model. The record is from RNAcentral.